UAAUACGUAGGGGGCGAGCGUUGUCCGAAGUUACUGGGCGUAAAGCGCGCGUAGGCGGGCCUUUAAGUCUGGUGUGAAAGGUUUGGGCUCAACCCGAACAGUGCACUGGAUACUGCAGGCCUUGAGUUGGGCAGAGGAGAGUGGAAUUCCUGGUGUAGCGGUGAAAUGCGUAGAUAUCAGGAGGAACACCGAUGGCGAAGGCAGCUUUCUGGGCCCUAACUGACGCUGAGGUGCGAAAGCGUGGGGAGCGAACGGGAUUAGAUACCCCGGUAGUCCACGCCGUAAACGAUGAGUGCUAGGUGUCAGGGGUAUCGACCCCCCUGGUGCCGGAGCUAACGCAUUAAGCACUCCGCCUGGGGAGUACGGCCGCAAGGUUG
Molecule: ribosomal RNA, 377 nt
Filed under: uncultured bacterium
Lineage: Bacteria
Description: bacterial SSU rRNA
Rfam family: Bacterial small subunit ribosomal RNA
Source: RNAcentral